CCUACGGGUGGCAGCAGUGGGGAAUAUUGCACAAUGGGGGAAACCCUGAUGCAGCGACGCCGCGUGAGUGAAGAAGUAAUUCUUUAUGUAAAGCUCUAUCAGCAGGGAAGAAAAUGACGGUACCUGAGUAAUAAGCCCCGGCUAACUACGUGCCAGCUGCCGCGGGAACACCUAGGGGGCAAGGGUUAUCCGGAUUUACUGGGGUUAAAGGGAGCGUAGACGGGAGGGCAAGGCUGGAGUGAAACGCGGGGGCUCCACCCCCGGACUGCCGUGGAAACUGUACGGCUGGAGUGCGGGAGAGGUAAGUGGAAUGCCUGGUGUAGCGGUGAAAUGCGUAGAUAUUAGGCGGAACACCAGUGGCGAAGGCAGCUUACUGGACUGUAACUGACGUUGAGGCUCGAAAGCGUGGGGAGUGAACAGGAUUAGAUACCCGAGUAGUC
RNAcentral lists this ribosomal RNA (440 nucleotides) under uncultured bacterium. RNAcentral describes it as "partial 16S ribosomal RNA". It matches the Rfam family "Bacterial small subunit ribosomal RNA", at positions 338 to 795 of the family's 1533-position model. The record is from RNAcentral.